UACGUAGGGUGCGAGCGUUGUCCGGAAUUACUGGGCGUAAAGAGCUCGUAGGUGGUUUGUCGCGUUGUUCGUGAAAACUCACAGCUCAACUGUGGGCGUGCGGGCGAUACGGGCAGACUGGAGUACUGCAGGGGAGACUGGAAUUCCUGGUGUAGCGGUGGAAUGCGCAGAUAUCAGGAGGAACACCGGUGGCGAAGGCGGGUCUCUGGGCAGUAACUGACGCUGAGGAGCGAAAGCUAGGGGAGCGAACAGG
Molecule: ribosomal RNA, 253 nt
Filed under: uncultured bacterium
Lineage: Bacteria
Description: partial 16S ribosomal RNA
Rfam family: Bacterial small subunit ribosomal RNA
Source: RNAcentral